AACGCGAAGAUCCUUACCUGGGUUUGACAUGGCGGGAAAAGCCACAGAGAUGUGGUGUCCUUUUGGGCCCGUCACAGGUGGUGCAUGGCUGUCGUCAGCUCGUGUCGUGAGAUGUUGGGUUAAGUCCCGCAACGAGCGCAACCCUUAUCCUAUGUUGCCAGCGCGUAAUGGCGGGGACUCGUAGGAGACUGCCGGGGUCAACUCGGAGGAAGGUGGGGAUGAGGUCAAGUCAUCAUGCCCCUUAUGUCCAGGGCUGCAAACAUGCUACAAUGGCCGGUACAAAGGGCUGCGAGACCGCGAGGUUGAGCGAAUCCCAUAAAGCCGGUCUCAGUUCGGAUCGGAGUCUGCAACUCGACUCCGUGAAGCUGGAGUUGCUAGUAAUCCCGGAUCAGCAACGCCGGGGUGAAUACGUUCCCGGGUCUUGUACACACCG
This 433-nucleotide ribosomal RNA is filed under the name uncultured bacterium. Its description in RNAcentral is "bacterial SSU rRNA". It matches the Rfam family "Bacterial small subunit ribosomal RNA", at positions 958 to 1392 of the family's 1533-position model. The record is from RNAcentral.